CAGCAGCCGCGGGAAUACGUAGGUGGCAAGCGUUGUCCGGAAUUAUUGGGCGUAAAGCGCGCGCAGGCGGAUAGGUCAGUCUGUCUUAAAAGUUCGGGGCUUAACCCCGUGAUGAGAUGGAAACUGCCAAUCUAGAGUAUCGGAGAGGAAAGUGGAAUUCCUAGUGUAGCGGUGAAAUGCGUAGAUAUUAGGAAGAACACCAGUGGCGAAGGCGACUUUCUGGACGAAAACUGACGCUGUGGCGCGAAAGCCAGGGGAGCGAACGGGAUUAGAUACCCCGGUAGUCCCUGUCUCUUAUACA
RNAcentral lists this ribosomal RNA (301 nucleotides) under uncultured bacterium. RNAcentral's name for it is "partial 16S ribosomal RNA". It matches the Rfam family "Bacterial small subunit ribosomal RNA", at positions 509 to 809 of the family's 1533-position model. The record is from RNAcentral.